This 72-nucleotide transfer RNA is filed under the name Camelus bactrianus (Bactrian camel). It matches the Rfam family "tRNA". From Rfam's summary of the family: Transfer RNA (tRNA) molecules are approximately 80 nucleotides in length. Their secondary structure includes four short double-helical elements and three loops (D, anti-codon, and T loops). RNAcentral also lists the same sequence under 1 other name. Lineage: Eukaryota; Metazoa; Chordata; Mammalia; Artiodactyla; Camelidae. The record is from Rfam by way of RNAcentral.
GAGGGUGUAGCUCAGUGGUAGAGCGCGUGCUUAGCAUGCACGAAGUCCUGGGUUCAAUCCCCAGGACCUCCU